Molecule: long non-coding RNA, 2042 nt
Filed under: Mizuhopecten yessoensis (Yesso scallop)
Lineage: Eukaryota; Metazoa; Mollusca; Bivalvia; Pectinida; Pectinidae
Description: uncharacterized LOC110452282
Source: RNAcentral
AUGACAGGUAACGUACAGGUCGGCGUCAUCAUGUUACCUGUAUAUUGUACUGACGUGUUAAAUCCAACAUGCUCGUCCAGCAGUGAGCAGAACCAGACUUGACCUUGAACUGUUAUUACAGACAUCAGAGAAAGCGACAUCAUUGAAUUCCAAAGGGUCUCCCGAUACAUUGUGUAAAGAAUGGAUAACCGUUGCCAGGACAACGAGGAACCCCACUAUUCCACUAUACAGUCAGUUUACUCGGAAAACCGAACCGGAAGUGAUGAGGAAUUAACAGGAACACGUGUCCGAGGCCAAUUUAUGCGCAUGACUACUACCUCUUUAGAAGACACAUAUUCACACCAAAGUUCAACAACUACAUCCUCUGAUUCAAAAGAUUUAAGUUAUGACGAUGUUGACAUUCAUGUCCUGAGCAGAAGUAUCCGCGCACUGACCGUUUUACAUCGUAGGCAUAAUUUGUCGCCACCAUUUAACAUGGAUACGUCAUUUCCGGAUCCUAUUGUUUCUGGACAUGAUGAGUGUUUAUGUUGUAAUCGUGACCGGAAGUGGGUGUGUUGGAGGAUGGAAAUGAACAAACAGUUGGUCGACUCUGCUCUGAAAAGUAAUCAAUGCAACGGAGGGAUGAGAAGGUGGGAAGUGGCUGAUCGCCCUCGAGGGUGCCAAACGACCAAGUGCACAAAUGACUUUGAAACUAAGGCUGGUGGCGAAAGCAGUCUCUGUUCUCAUCAGUACUUCAUGUACGGAAUUCCUAGGGCACGACUUUACAACCGCUUACGUCGAUAACAAUAAGACUUCUGGAUGAUGGUCAACGCACGAGUUGAACAUUUACGUGAUUGUGCAAUACGGUUUCAUGUUUUUAUUUGGAGGAAAUAAAUAAUAAUAUUCAACAAAUAAAAUGGAUUGGACAUUUAAACAUUCGGCUUAACCCGCAUGCUUUGCUGAGGUACGUAAUGGAGACAUGUUUCCGUUCCUUCACGGACCUGUGGACUGCUGUAGGUGCUACAUUCAUGUACAUGCAUGGAACGGAAGACAUAUUUGUUUGUCUUGCAAUCAUGUUUUUUUUAAGUAUAUUUAUAACGUGUCAGGUCUCGAUGAUUAGCUGGAUAGGAUAAAAUUGUUUGACAAAGAAAUAUGUAUGCAUGUACAAUAGCGUCGUGUAAGACCAAACAUCUAAAAUUAAGCAGAAGUCAGACUCACUGGUAAACUGACGCACAAGUAACAAAAUAACGAAAGCUUGGAAAAAGCAACUGUAAUGCCGUCCAGACAGAACUUGAGAAAGAUUGAAGGCUUGUUAGAAAUGAACCGUUAAGAAGACAAACGAUGGAGGCUUGGUAGGAGAGUUCUCUACUGUCUUGUUUUGGAACCAUAGAGGACUAGGUACAUUGUAUAGCAUAUUUUUUUUAAUGAUAUUUAAAUGUUCUUACAGUUACGCCACCAAUCUUUUUUUAUAUAUUGUCUUUUCGAGUAAGAGUGAAAAAGGCAAAAAUUAAAUCGAUUGUGUGAGUUAUAUUAUCAAAGUUAUACAUGUAAUUUGUUUAUUAUUUCUCAUGUCAUCUAAGCAUCUUUAACCCAAAGUUGUGAAACACGCAAAAGUUGCGGAACAAAACUUGGUGACGUCACUGCCAGGUCAAUUCUGCCAUUGGCUUGAAGUUUAAAACUUAUCAUUUUAAUCAGAUUGACGCAUGACAAUAAAUCGAUAAAAAAAACCUAUUACAGUGUGUUAAUGGAGUCGAUGCAUGGUUUUGUCGACCCCUGAUUAACGGUAUCAACCGAGACCGCAAGGUUAAUCUCUGUUGAAGGGUUGAUAAAAUAGAAACAUUUAUAUCACAAAAAUUAUAGGUCUCUCAUAAAACCUUACGUCGACAUGUUGUUAUUGUAUAUAUGUUACAUUCAAAUAUUAAUAUAAGUCCAAAGCCGAUGCAAAAGUUCGGGAAUAUUUUUUGACGAUAAUAUUGACUAUUUAUAAGAUAUCGGAGUACUAGCUGUUUCCUUGUGUUAUCUGUUGAAUACCAGUUGUUUUAUAUUAAAAUAUUUUAAUGCCA